RNAcentral lists this ribosomal RNA (1043 nucleotides) under uncultured bacterium. RNAcentral's name for it is "bacterial SSU rRNA". It matches the Rfam family "Bacterial small subunit ribosomal RNA", at positions 43 to 1058 of the family's 1533-position model. The record is from RNAcentral.
CGUGCUUAACACAUGCAAGUCGUACGAGAACGCUUCAGCUUGCUGAGCUAGUAAGUGGCGCACGGGUGAGUAACGCGUGGGUAAUCUACCUUCGAAUUGGGGAUAACGUUGCGAAAGUGACGCUAAUACCGAAUAAUAUCAUAAGGACUUUGGUUCUUUUGAUCAAAGAUGGCCUCUCCUUGGAAGCUAUUGUUUGAGGAUGAGCCCGCGUCCCAUUAGCUUGUUGGUGGGGUAAUGGCCUACCAAGGCAGCGAUGGGUAGCUGGUCUGAGAGGAUGAUCAGCCACACUGGAACUGACACACGGUCCAGACUCCUACGGGAGGCAGCAGUGAGGAAUUUUGCGCAAUGGGGGAAACCCUGACGCAGCAACGCCGCGUGAGUGAUGAAGGCUUUCGGGUCGUAAAGCUCUGUCAAGUGGGAAGAACUUUCAUGGGGUUAAUAUCCUCAUGUUUUGACGGUACCACUGAAGGAAGCACCGGCUAACUCCGUGCCAGCAGCCGCGGUAAUACGGGGGGUGCAAGCGUUAUUCGGAUUUACUGGGCGUAAAGCGCGCGUAGGCGGCCGUUUAAGUCAGAUGUGAAAGCCCGGGGCUCAACCCCGGAAGUGCAUUUGAUACUAUUCGGCUUGAGUAUGGGAGAGGGAAGUGGAAUUCCUGGUGUAGAGGUGAAAUUCGUAGAUAUCAGGAGGAACACCGGUGGCGAAGGCGACUUCCUGGACCAAUACUGACGCUGAGGCGCGAAGGCGUGGGGAGCAAACAGGAUUAGAUACCCUGGUAGUCCACGCAGUAAACGGUGAUCACUAGGUGUAGCGGGUAUUGACCCCUGCUGUGCCGCAGCUAACGCAUUAAGUGAUCCGCCUGGGGAGUACGGCCGCAAGGUUAAAACUCAAAGGAAUUGACGGGGGCCCGCACAAGCGGUGGAGCAUGUGGUUUAAUUCGACGCAACGCGAAGAACCUUACCGGGGUUUGAACUGUACCGGCAGCAUCCAGAGAUGGAUGGUUUCCUUCGGGAACUGGUAUAGAGGUGCUGCAUGGCUGUCGUCAG